CUGGCACAAAGCUGGCGGUGGCACAGAGCCUCGCAAAGGGCACUUUCACCGAGGGAGAUGCUGCUGGUUGCUGGCAGAGCGUGAGGGGUCUGAACUGCUAAGGAUGGCUGGUCAGGAGCAAAGGCUUUGCUGCCUUAUCCAGGAAUGUUCCGUUCUUUCAGCAGCUCUACUACACCCCCUGUUCACUUUCAUCUUUCAGAAAAUGAAAUCAUUUUCCUGGAAUGGUUUGAGUUGAGAGGGACCCUAAAUCCCACCCAGUGCCACCCCUGCCAUGGCAGGGACACCUCCCACUGCCCCAGGCUGCUCCCAGCCCCAGAGUCCAGCCUGGCCUUGGGCACUGCCAGGGAUCCAGGGGCAGCCACAGCUGCUCUGGGCAUGCUAAUAAAUAAAGACAUGAAUAAAUAACCCAG
Molecule: long non-coding RNA, 410 nt
Organism: Vidua macroura (Pin-tailed whydah)
Lineage: Eukaryota; Metazoa; Chordata; Aves; Passeriformes; Viduidae
Exons: 2
Source: RefSeq, a predicted model, not a curated record